Molecule: long non-coding RNA, 1234 nt
Filed under: Astyanax mexicanus (Mexican tetra)
Lineage: Eukaryota; Metazoa; Chordata; Actinopteri; Characiformes; Acestrorhamphidae
Description: lncRNA (ENSAMXG00005014433.1)
Source: RNAcentral
GCCGCCAUUUUAUCCACGAGUUGUGUUGGACAUACAGAGCUCUGGAAAUAUAUUUUAUGAACUAAAAAAAAAAAAAAAACUAAUAUAAUUACAUUGAACAGAGUUUCAGGUUCAUUUCACAGUUUUAUAACCAGAACUCUUUGCAGUAAUCUCUUAAUCUAAAAAAAUGGGUCUUACCAAAACUCAGUAAACACAUGCCAUGUGCCUGGUGAGUGUAGUAGGAGGGGCCUGAAUUUGAUUGGCUAACACUCUUUAGUACAGAGGAAGUGAAAUUAAUAAAAAUAUAUAUUUUUUUUAUUACUAAGAAUAAUUAAUUGUUUACUAAGUCCAGGUCUAAUUUACAGAGCUAUAUAUAAUUAGGAUUAUCUUAUAUUUAAUAUUUUAGAUUUUUUGUUAUUAUUAACAUUCAAGUUUAAGUGUAUAUAUUUCAGUUAAUAUAGGGUAUUUUAAGCUGAAUGUAAGGUGGACUCUUGUAAUUCCGCAGGUUUUGCCGCUGGGGGCGCCGAAGUAAACAAAACUUUAAUUCUUAAAAAAAAAAACAUUUUCUUUAAAAGUCAAACGAGCACUGGACUUUAUUCUACACAGAUGUCUCUCCUAAAAAAACUUUUUUUGUGAGGAAUUUAGAUCUAAUUUACAGUGCUUUAUAUAACUAGGAUUAUCUUAUAUUUAAUAUUUUAGAUUUUACCACAGACCCUGCAAUGUGAUUGGCUGAGAGGCGUUUUAUGAGCCAUAUUAUGCACUGUAACCGAAGCUCUCCAUGUAUUACUCCGCCACAUACAGGUAACCUAGCAACGAUGCAGCGCCAAAUACAAACCAAAUGCAAUAUCAUUAUUCACCACUGGGAGGCACUAGAUCCCAUAGGCACAAACGCCAUGCAGAAACGCCAUGACUCCAUUAGGCGGCGCAGGAAAGGCCGCGGUCCCACCAAUAAAUAAGCCCAUCUAUUCGAAAAUACGCAUUAAUACACACAUUAUCAGCCACCAAUAUCAGUCAAACGAGCACUGGACUUUAUUCUACACAGAUGUCUCUCCUAAAAAAACGUCUAUUUGGGUGAGUAAAACGCUUCGGUUUAUUGACAGUACGCUUAGAUUUGACUGAAAUGGCCGCAGAGCAACUAUGGAACUAUUUUAACAGUGGAGUGUUUAUAACAAAACAGAUCAGUCCGCAUUUUCUCAUCUUCUUUAACACAAAAUCUUUUAAUAAACAGCGAUGAUGGAACUGGGGUAUAAUCGCA